Small nucleolar RNA from Sorex araneus (European shrew), 129 nucleotides. Lineage: Eukaryota; Metazoa; Chordata; Mammalia; Eulipotyphla; Soricidae. The record is from Ensembl.
CUGCAUCCACUGAUAGACCUUGAACAAGUUGCUGUUGUUCAUUUGGUUUGCACUAGGAUGCAAAAGAAAAUAAUCCCAGCGCUUUCUGUCUGCCUCUGUGGCAGCCAGAUUGAAUAGGGGAGAACAUUG